CGCGUAGAUAACCUGUCUUCAUGUCUGGAAUAAUACGCCGAAAGGGGUACUAAUACCGGAUAUUCUUGCUUUAUAUAAGUUUUGCAAGGAAAGGUGGCCUCUGUAUAUGCUACUGCAUGAAGAGGGGUCUGCGUACCAUUAGCUAGUAGGUGGGGUAAUGGCCUACCUAGGCGACGAUGGUUAGCGGGUCUGAGAGGAUGAUCCGCCACACUGGCACUGGAACACGGGCCAGACUCCUACGGGAGGCAGCAGUGAGGAAUAUUGCGCAAUGGGGGCAACCCUGACGCAGCGACGCCGCGUGAGUGAGGAAGGCCUUCGGGUCGUAAAGCUCUGUCAAAGGGAAAGAAGUGCAUGGUGGUUAAUACCUGUUAUAUUUGACGGUACCCUUAAAGGAAGCACCGGCUAACUCCGUGCCAGCAGCCGCGGUAAUACGGAGGGUGCAAGCGUUGUUCGGAAUUACUGGGCGUAAAGGGCGCGUAGGCGGUUUGAUAAGUCAGAUG
RNAcentral lists this ribosomal RNA (500 nucleotides) under uncultured sulfate-reducing bacterium. Its description in RNAcentral is "bacterial SSU rRNA". It matches the Rfam family "Bacterial small subunit ribosomal RNA", at positions 114 to 594 of the family's 1533-position model. The record is from RNAcentral.